Long non-coding RNA from Rhea pennata, 544 nucleotides. RefSeq lists it as uncharacterized. The transcript has 3 exons. Lineage: Eukaryota; Metazoa; Chordata; Aves; Rheiformes; Rheidae. The record is from RefSeq and is a predicted model, not a curated record.
GCGGCUGCCUGGCGCGCAGCUGACCUUUCUCCUUCCCUAAUUUUGGAAAGGGAGGAUCAGCGGGCGCUGAGCCCGUGCCCGCUCCCGCGCUCCCUCGGGCGCCCGGCCGCGGGAUGCUCCGCGGGAUCCCUCCCAGUAUCAACCUUUCCGGAAUAAGCUCCAAAGCCCCCUUUGCACCCGCCAGGCGGCGAAAGGACUCGGAGCGGCCGAGGAGGAGACGGAGGGGCGCGAGCGGGCAGCGGAAGCGAGCGGCGAGGCGAGCGGAGAGCGAGGCGACCGCGGGGCGAGAGCCCGGCACAGGAUCCAGCCGAAAACCCUCCGGGAAAAGUUUUCCUUCCCCUGUUCCCAGGGUCGGAAGGGGCCCGAUGGGAGGACGUCUAUUCAGGUCUGGAGAAAGCUGAGCCCCAAGCGAAGGAAAAGCAGGAGCGGGGAAGAGAGGCAGAGAAGAGAGAGUCGGAUUAAGCAGCCAAAACCGCCCCGGCGGGAGAAACCCAAGCGCAAGGCGGCAAAAAGCAGCGAGCGACAGCCAGGCUCGGGGGGGAAA